This 467-nucleotide ribosomal RNA is filed under the name uncultured bacterium. Its description in RNAcentral is "bacterial SSU rRNA". It matches the Rfam family "Bacterial small subunit ribosomal RNA", at positions 28 to 507 of the family's 1533-position model. The record is from RNAcentral.
GAUGAACGCUGGCGGCGUGCCUAACACAUGCAAGUCAAGGAGAAGGUAACCUUCGGGGAACCGGGAUACUGGCGCACGGGUGAGUAACACGUGGAUUAUCUACCCUUUUACACAGGACAUAACUCAGGGAAACUUGAGCUAAUAUCUGAUGAGGCCUCCGGGUCAAAGCUUCGGCGGUAAAGGAUGAGUCUGCGUCUGAUUAGCUAGUUGGUAAGGUAAUGGCUUACCAAGGGCGACGAUCAGUAACUGGUCUGAGAGGACGAUCAGUCACACUGGAACUGAGACACGGUCCAGACUCCUACGGGAGGCAGCAGUGAGGAAUUUUGGACAAUGGGGGAAACCCUGAUCCAGCGACGCCGCGUGUGGGAUGAAUGGGUUAUGCCCUGUAAACCACUGUCAGCAGAGAAGAAAAGGUCCUUUGGAACCCGGGACUGGUAUCUGCAGAGGAAGGACCGGCUAACUACGUG